UGGGGGAUAUUGCACAAUGGGCGAAAGCCUGAUGCAGCGACGCCGCGUGGGGGUUGAAGGCCUUCGGGUUGUAAACUUCUUUUGCUCUGAACAAGGCAUGCCUUUGGGGUGUGUUGAGUGUAGGGGUUGAUUAGCGCCGGCUAACUACGUGCCAGCAGCCGCGGUAAUACGUAGGGCGCGAGCGUUGUCCGGAAUUAUUGGGCGUAAAGGGCUUGUAGGUGGCUGGUUGCGUCUGUCGUGAAAGCUCAUGGCUUAACUGUGGGUUUGCGGUGGGUACGGGCUGGCUUGAGUGCCGUAGGGGAGGCUGGAAUUCCUGGUGUAGCGGUGGAAUGCGCAGAUAUCAGGAGGAAUACCGGUGGCGAAGGCGGGUCUCUGGGCUGUUACUGACGCUGAGGAGCGAAAGCGUGGGGAGCGAACAGG
This 420-nucleotide ribosomal RNA is filed under the name Fusobacteriota bacterium. RNAcentral describes it as "Fusobacteria bacterium partial 16S ribosomal RNA". It matches the Rfam family "Bacterial small subunit ribosomal RNA", at positions 355 to 776 of the family's 1533-position model. Lineage: Bacteria; Fusobacteriati; Fusobacteriota. The record is from RNAcentral.